UACAGAGGUCCCGAGCGUUGUUCGGAUUCACUGGGCGUAAAGGGUGCGUAGGUGGCGAGGUAAGUCGGAUGUGAAAGCUCGGAGCUCAACUCCGAAAUGGCAUUGGAAACUACCUUGCUCGAGGGUUGGAGGGGGGACUGGAAUACUUGGUGUAGAGGUGAAAUUCGUAGAUAUCAAGCGGAACACCGGUGGCGAAGGCGGCCUUCUGGACAGUGACUGACGCUGAGACGCGAAAGCGUGGGGAGCAAACAGG
This 253-nucleotide ribosomal RNA is filed under the name uncultured bacterium. Its description in RNAcentral is "partial 16S ribosomal RNA". It matches the Rfam family "Bacterial small subunit ribosomal RNA", at positions 524 to 776 of the family's 1533-position model. The record is from RNAcentral.